RNAcentral lists this transfer RNA (93 nucleotides) under Acidimicrobiia bacterium. RNAcentral describes it as "tRNA-Ser". It matches the Rfam family "tRNA". Rfam says of the family: Transfer RNA (tRNA) molecules are approximately 80 nucleotides in length. The record is from RNAcentral. RNAcentral also lists the same sequence under 1 other name. Lineage: Bacteria; Bacillati; Actinomycetota; Acidimicrobiia.
GGAGGGAUGACUGAGCGGCCGAAAGUGCUCGCCUGCUAAGCGAGUAGGGGGUGUUAAGCCUCCUCGAGGGUUCAAAUCCCUCUCCCUCCGCCA